CUCGUAGGCGGCCAACUAAGUCAGACGUGAAAUCCCUCGGCUUAACCGGGGAACUGCGUCUGAUACUGGAUGGCUUGAGAUUGGGAGAGGGAUGCGGAAUUCCAGGUGUAGCGGUGAAAUGCGUAGAUAUCUGGAGGAACACCGGUGGCGAAGGCGGCAUCCUGGACCAACACUGACGCUGAGUGAGCGAAAGCCAGGGGAGCAAACGGGAUUAGAUACCCCGGUAGUCCUGGCCCUAAACGAUGAAUGCUUGGUGUGACGGGUAUCGAUCCCUGUCGUGCCGAAGCUAACGCAUUAAGCAUUCCGCCUGGGGAGUACGGUCGCAAGGCUGAA
This 333-nucleotide ribosomal RNA is filed under the name uncultured Acidobacteriota bacterium. Its description in RNAcentral is "bacterial SSU rRNA". It matches the Rfam family "Bacterial small subunit ribosomal RNA", at positions 568 to 898 of the family's 1533-position model. Lineage: Bacteria; Pseudomonadati; Acidobacteriota. The record is from RNAcentral.